RNAcentral lists this ribosomal RNA (497 nucleotides) under uncultured bacterium. Its description in RNAcentral is "partial 16S ribosomal RNA". It matches the Rfam family "Bacterial small subunit ribosomal RNA", at positions 28 to 507 of the family's 1533-position model. The record is from RNAcentral.
GAUGAACGCUGGCGGCGUGCCUAAUACAUGCAAGUCGAGCGAACAGAUGAGGAGCUUGCUCCUCUGACGUUAGCGGCGGACGGGUGAGUAACACGUGGAUAACCUACCUAUAAGACUGGGAUAACUUCGGGAAGCCGGAGCUAAUACCGGAUAAUAUAUUGAACCGCAUGGUUCAAUAGUGAAAGACGGUUUUGCUGUCACUUAUAGAUGGAUCCGCGCCGCAUUAGCUAGUUGGUAAGGUAACGGCUUACCAAGGCAACGAUGCGUAGCCGACCUGAGAGGGUGAUCGGCCACACUGGAACUGAGACACGGUCCAGACUCCUACGGGAGGCAGCAGUAGGGAAUCUUCCGCAAUGGGCGAAAGCUUGACGGAGCAACGCCGCGUGAGUGAUGAAGGUCUUCGGAUCGUAAAACUCUGUUAUUAGGGAAGAACAAAUGUGUAAGUAACUAUGCACGUCUUGACGGUACCUAAUCAGAAAGCCACGGCUAACUACGUG